UGGGCCUGGAUCCUUUGUUUGAUUUGG
RNAcentral lists this non-coding RNA (27 nucleotides) under Rattus norvegicus (Norway rat). The record is from RNAcentral. Lineage: Eukaryota; Metazoa; Chordata; Mammalia; Rodentia; Muridae.